AGGAAGAUGUUUUCCUAUUCUUGAUUGAUAUAGGAUUUCAGCUGCUAAAGAGUUCAGUGUCUCCUAUGUCGUGUUUUUAGUUUCAUAAUGCGCCAAAUGUUUUCAAUGGGUGACAGGUCUGGACUGCAGGCAGACCAGUUAAUUAAGCACCCGGACACUUUUACUACUGAGCCAUGCUGUUGUAAUAUGUACAGAAUGUGGUGUCGCAUUGUCUUGCUGAAAUAAGCAAGGUCUUCUUUUCCACUUCACGUCAAUCCAUUUUAAAUGAGCUUGGGCCCAAUGAAGGCGACAGUGUUUCUGGAUCUUGUUUAUAUAUGCUUUUUUUCUUUGCAUUUUUUUUAUGUUGCUGUCUUUUGUUUGCAUUGCAAAUGUUGUUGUGUUGUGCACCCGUGGGCCACCGUAGUUCACCACUCUGUGAAAGACUGCGCAGGCAAAUAGUGCAACAACUUAAGAAUAACGUUUCUCAACCUAAAAUUGCAAAGAGUUUGGGGAUCUCAUCAUCUACAACACAAAACAUCAUUAAAAGAGAAAUCUCUGUACACGAAAACCAAUAUUGGAUGGCUGUGAUCUUUGGGCCCUAAAGUGUCAUUAAAAACAGACAUAAUUCUGUAGUGGACAACACUGCAUGGGCUCAGAAACACAUCCAAAAUCCAUUGUCUGUGAGCAUACUGUAGUAUGUCGCUGCAUCCACAAAUGCAAAUUAGAACUUUUUAAAAACAUGCAAAGAAAAAAACAUAUAUAAACAAGAUCCAGAAACACCGUCGCGUUCUCUGGGCCCAAGCUCAUUUAAGAUGGACUGAGGUGAUGUGGAAAACUACAACAGAACACAACCGCAUCAGCCCAAAACCCACCAACAUUUGCAGAAAUGCAGCAUUUCAAAUUACUCACAAUUGAAGUGCUCCAGACCACUAGGUGACCACUAGGUGACCGAACCUCCCUGCCCCUACAUAGGAAGACGAACAAAGCGAGAAAUGUUCGCUAACAACGAUGGACUGUGCAGUUUCUGAUCCAAUCUAGACGCAUGAUUACUGUGCAGGCCAGAAUUCCCCAGCCCUGGAUAUGGCCUUAAUAUUGGUGAAUUAGGAGCAAGCAGGAGAAAAUCAGGAGCUUCAAACACAGCUGGAAAACCUGACAACACAACGCCACUUUUGUGUACAAUGGUUUCCUGUAGAUUUGCGACCUACACCCUCCUGGUGGCAUACUGGGAUCUGAUUGAGGUCAGCAGACACCAAGUUAAGAGUCACCAGUGCAAACACGUCCAAGAUAAGUGUUCCUUGACCAAAAACAGUAAGUGACAACUCCAUUGAAUACAUUACUUUAUAUGGAAUAUUUAUCAUAAUGUUAUUUUUCCUUCUGUUUAAACCUAUUAUUCUUCACUUUAUUUGUGUUAUGGACCUAACCCAAUGCAAGGGGAAUAUAUUGUACUAAAACGUUUUUCUUUUUGUUUAGUCACUCCCACCAAUCAAUGAGUUUUUCUUGUUGGGUCUGAAACAGAAGGAUUUGGGCUUUUUUUUUUACAUCCACCAGUCAACAGUGAUCCAGAUAAUCAUGUCUUGUGACAACUUCUUCUACUUCCUGCUUGGCUCAGUAUGGAUAUGGAUCCCCAAAGAUAACAUCAAAGCCAACAUGCCACCCAAGUUCAAUGAUCUAAUUAUCUAGACACCAAAGUUGUGAUCAACUGCACUGAACUUUGCUGCCAGACACCAUCUUCCCUACUCCUGCAAAUUGAGGUGUUUUCUUCACUCUGUACCUUCAAGGGCAUGUUAGGAACGUCACCACACGGAGUUGUCACUUUUGUGUCCUCUUUGUAUGCUGGUUCUGUGAGUGACAAGGAGAUUGUUAUGCCGCCAGGAAUUCUUUCCUUACUUAUCCCUGAUCAUGGCCUUUAUGGUGGAUGAGGGCUACCUUGUGGAUGAUCUUGUUCCAUGCGGGAUCUGUCGGCCAGCUUUUCUGCAGAGGCGCCACAGAUGCCAGCGCAUGAGGUUAGGGAGGCCCUAUCCAGUGCCAGGCAAAGGGUGCAUGUCAAAACAAUGAUUCAGAGAGUAAAGGAGCACAAGCUGUUUGACAGUCAUCCCUCUGAUUGUCUUAGGAAGCAUCAACUAACUAUUUGCAGUCAUGCUUGCUGGUCAAUGAAAAUGGACCUUUGGUCAGAGCAUGGGCCAAGCUGCUAUAAACGUACAUUUGUUUUUGCUUUGGGUCACUCUGACCAUGAAGAUUUUUUUUUUUAAAGAUAACCAACUGCAUUAAGUAAUAGUUACAUAUAAUGAAAUGUUUAUUGAAUAUUCCCAGAUUGUGUGCCUACCACAAAUCAGGUAAACGUCACAAAUGUCAAAAUAUGAAAUGUAUAAUUUGUGGAUUAAAUGUAUUAAUAACUUGUAACACUUCAAUGCAUAUUAGUUGUUUGUGUUGAUCUUGUAUUGGCCUUAAUAAGGAAAUUUGUUUUAGUAAGCACCGAAGAGAAAAAAUGAAAGAUUCAAC
This is a long non-coding RNA of Esox lucius (northern pike), 2478 nucleotides long. Lineage: Eukaryota; Metazoa; Chordata; Actinopteri; Esociformes; Esocidae. The record is from Ensembl.